UGCUAACGUCCGUCGUGAAGAGGGAAACAACCCAGACCGCCAGCUAAGGGCCCAAAGUCAUGGUUAAGUGGGAAACGAUGUGGGAAGGCCCAGACAGCCAGGAUGUUGGCUUAGAAGCAGCCAUCAUUUAAAGAAAGCGUAAUAGCUCACUGGUCGAGUCGGCCUGCGCGGAAGAUGUAACGGGGCUAAACCAUGCACCGAAGCUGCGGCAGCGAACGUAUCACCCAAGACAA
Molecule: ribosomal RNA, 233 nt
Filed under: Salmonella enterica subsp. enterica serovar Typhimurium
Lineage: Bacteria; Pseudomonadati; Pseudomonadota; Gammaproteobacteria; Enterobacterales; Enterobacteriaceae
Description: partial 23S ribosomal RNA
Rfam family: Bacterial large subunit ribosomal RNA
Source: RNAcentral